This 301-nucleotide ribosomal RNA is filed under the name uncultured bacterium. Its description in RNAcentral is "partial 16S ribosomal RNA". It matches the Rfam family "Bacterial small subunit ribosomal RNA", at positions 510 to 808 of the family's 1533-position model. The record is from RNAcentral.
CAUCGCCACGGUAAUACGGAGGAUCCGAGCGUUAUCCGGAAUUAUUGGGUUUAAAGGGUGCGUAGGCGGAUAGAUAAGUCAGUGGUGAAAGACGGUGGCUCAACCAUCGCAGUGCCGUUGAUACUGUUUAUCUUGAAUAUGGAUGAGGUAGGCGGAAUGUGGCAAGUAGCGGUGAAAUGCAUAGAUAUGCCACAGAACACCGAUUGCGAAGGCAGCUUACCAAGGCAAAAUUGACGCUGAGGCACGAAAGCGUGGGGAUCGAACAGGAUUAGAGACCCCCGUAGUCCCUGUCUCUUAUACA